RNAcentral lists this ribosomal RNA (255 nucleotides) under uncultured bacterium. RNAcentral describes it as "partial 16S ribosomal RNA". It matches the Rfam family "Bacterial small subunit ribosomal RNA", at positions 524 to 777 of the family's 1533-position model. The record is from RNAcentral.
UACGAAGGGGGCUAGCGUUGCUCGGAAUUACUGGGCGUAAAGCGCACGUAGGCGGAUCAUUAAGUCGGGUGUGAAAGCCCUGGGCUCAACCCAGGAAGUGCACUCGAAACUGUCAGGCUUGAAUAUGGAAGAGGGUCGCGGAAUUCCCGGUGUAGAGGUGAAAUUCGUAGAUAUCGGGAGGAACACCAGUGGCGAAGGCGGCGACCUGGGCCAAUAUUGACGCUGAGGUGGCGAAAGCGUGGGGAGCAAACAGGG